AUGUCACCGCCAUCAAGAGCAUCCUGCAGCUUUUUUGGGCGCGCCUUCGGGCUCCAGGUCAACUUCACCAAGAGCACGGCCACCUUGAUCCGUGCCAGCACGGAUGAGGCCGCGCCUGUCGUCGACUUGCUUGGCUGCCCCAUCGUCGAGCUGCCUGUCACCUACCUGGGCAUCCCCUCACGCUGCGCCGACCUUUCGCUGCCCAGCUCCAGCUCGUUGUCGAUAAAACCGCCCGCAUGCUCCCAUAUUGAAACCAUGCACCGCCUCAUCCUAGCAUGCCCCUUCGCCCGGCAGGCCUGGCACGAGACACUGAGUUGGCUAGGGAUCCCGUGUACCCCGCCAGACAACAAGCCUUCGCUUCUGGACUGGUGGCAAUCGGCGCGACACUCCGCCCCAACACCCAUGCGCAAGGGCCUAGGUACCGUGACCCUCCUCGUCCCCUGGAUGAUAUGGAAGCACCGCAACCACUGCGUCUUCAACGGAGCAUGCCCAUCCGUGAAGACCCUGCUAGCGAAGAUCAAGGAAGAGGCCACCUUUGGGCAAACGCGGGCGCGCUAG
RNAcentral lists this ribosomal RNA (558 nucleotides) under Triticum aestivum (bread wheat). Its description in RNAcentral is "partial small subunit ribosomal RNA". Lineage: Eukaryota; Viridiplantae; Streptophyta; Magnoliopsida; Poales; Poaceae. The record is from RNAcentral.